This 460-nucleotide ribosomal RNA is filed under the name uncultured bacterium. RNAcentral's name for it is "partial 16S ribosomal RNA". It matches the Rfam family "Bacterial small subunit ribosomal RNA", at positions 338 to 795 of the family's 1533-position model. The record is from RNAcentral.
CCUACGGGAGGCUGCAGUGAGGAAUAUUGGUCAAUGGGCGGGAGCCUGAACCAGCCAAGUCGCGUGAAGGAUGACUGCCCUACGGGUUGUAAACUUCUUUUAUAAAGGAAUAAAGUGAGGCACGAGUGCCUUUUUGUAUGUACUUUAUGAAUAAGGAUCGGCUAACUCCGUGCCAGCAGCCGCGGUAAUACGGAGGAUCCGAGCGUUAUCCGGAUUUAUUGGGUUUAAAGGGAGCGUAGGUGGGUUGUUAAGUCAGUUGUGAAAGUUUGCGGCUCAACCGUAAAAUUGCAGUUGAUACUGGAAGUCUUGAGAACAGGUGAGGUAGGCGGAAUGCGUAGUGUAGCGGUGAAAUGCUUAGAUAUCACGCAGAACUCCGAUUGCGAAGGCAGCUUACUAAACGGCCACUGACACUGAUGCACGAAAGUGUGGGUAUCGAACAGGAUUAGAUACCCUUGUAGUC